RNAcentral lists this ribosomal RNA (497 nucleotides) under uncultured bacterium. Its description in RNAcentral is "partial 16S ribosomal RNA". It matches the Rfam family "Bacterial small subunit ribosomal RNA", at positions 28 to 507 of the family's 1533-position model. The record is from RNAcentral.
GAUGAACGCUGGCGGCGUGCCUAAUACAUGCAAGUCGAGCGAACAGACGAGGAGCUUGCUCCCCUGACGUUAGCGGCGGACGGGUGAGUAACACGUGGAUAACCUACCUAUAAGACUGGGAUAACUUCGGGAAACCGGAGCUAAUACCGGAUAAUAUAUUGAACCGCAUGGUUCAAUAGUGAAAGACGGUUUUGCUGUCACUUAUAGAUGGAUCCGCGCCGCAUUAGCUAGUUGGUAAGGUAACGGCUUACCAAGGCGACGAUGCGUAGCCGACCUGAGAGGGUGAUCGGCCACACUGGAACUGAGACACGGUCCAGACUCCUACGGGAGGCAGCAGUAGGGAAUCUUCCGCAAUGGGCGAAAGCCUGACGGAGCAACGCCGCGUGAGUGAUGAAGGUCUUCGGAUCUUGAAACUCUGUUAUUAGGGAAGAACAAAUGUGUAAGUAACUAUGCACGUCUUGACGGUACCUAAUCAGAAAGCCACGGCUAACUACGUG